This 120-nucleotide ribosomal RNA is filed under the name uncultured bacterium. RNAcentral's name for it is "partial 16S ribosomal RNA". It matches the Rfam family "Bacterial small subunit ribosomal RNA", at positions 30 to 145 of the family's 1533-position model. The record is from RNAcentral.
AUUGAACGCUGGCGGAAUGCUUUACACAUGCAAGUCGAACGGCAGCACGGGAGCUUGCUCCUGGUGGCGAGUGGCGAACGGGUGAGUAACAUAUCGGAACGUACCUAGUAAUGGGGGAUA